Molecule: non-coding RNA, 26 nt
Filed under: Macaca fascicularis (crab-eating macaque)
Lineage: Eukaryota; Metazoa; Chordata; Mammalia; Primates; Cercopithecidae
Also listed under: 1 other name
Source: RNAcentral
UGGUUGCACAUUCUGAAAGACAGAGA